CCUACGGGAGGCAGCAGUAGGGAAUAUUGCUCAAUGGGGGAAACCCUGAAGCAGCAACGCCGCGUGGAGGAUGAAGGUUUUCGGAGUGUAAACUCCUUUUGUUGGAGAAGAUAAUGACGGUAUCUAACGAAUAAGCACCGGCUAACUCCGUGACAGCAGCCGCGGUAAUACGGAGGGUGCAAGCGUUACUCGGAAUCACUGGGCGUAAAGAGCGCGUAGGCGGGAUAGCAAGUCAGAUGUGAAAUCCUAUGGCUUAACCAUAGAACUGCAUUUGAAACUGUUAUUCUAGAGUAUGGGAGAGGUAGGUGGAAUUCGUGGUGUAGGGGUAAAAUCCGUAGAGAUCAAGAGGAAUACUCAUUGCGAAGGCGACCUGCUAGAACAUAACUGACGCUGAUGCGCGAAAGCGUGGGGAGCAAACAGGAUUAGAUACCCGGGUAGUC
RNAcentral lists this ribosomal RNA (440 nucleotides) under uncultured bacterium. RNAcentral's name for it is "partial 16S ribosomal RNA". It matches the Rfam family "Bacterial small subunit ribosomal RNA", at positions 338 to 795 of the family's 1533-position model. The record is from RNAcentral.